Non-coding RNA from Podarcis lilfordi (Lilford's wall lizard), 4829 nucleotides. Lineage: Eukaryota; Metazoa; Chordata; Lepidosauria; Squamata; Lacertidae. The record is from the annotation of a GenBank genome assembly.
ACCUCACUUUCAGCUAAAUAAUACAAGACACUGUGAGCCCUGCUGAUAGCUAUGUUGAUAGCUAUGCUGCUGAUGCUCUUUAUAGGGGUAAUAUAAAUGGAACCAUUUAUAGGGGAUAGCAUGGAUAGUAAGAUAGUAAGAAUGUAAAUGAGCUCCAUUGUUUGUUUUUGUGUUUGUUUUAACAUGAUUAAAAAGUAAAUGAAGUUACGUGCAAAGGUGAAUCAAGGCCUAGCAUUGUAAAUUAAUUUGUAUGAUUUUAAUAAUUCAAGGCCUAGCAUUGUAAAUUAAUUGGUAUGAUUUUAAUAAUUCUGUUGCUAUAAUUAAACUUAAAAUUAAACUUAAGCCUGAUGCUUUAUGGACGCUUGACUAGAGCCCUACAUGUGAAUUCCUGGAGAGGUGCUCACAAUCACUUUGCUCCUCCUCAGUCCUUUUUACUGCUGUGCUGUGAUGAACUAAGCCAAGAUUUCGUUUUGCAGGUCACCUGCCCCCAGACUCAUGGUUAAGGUCUCCCGUCACUAACCUCUCACUGCAUCUUGAGUGUAGCAGUUUAUGAUCAGUGAUCAUAAUAUUGUUUGUUUGUUAUUGUUUCAGUUGUUAGGCACUGACUAAAAAAAAGUUUUGAGGUGACGUACAUUGCAAUACAAUACAUUGCAAUACAAAAUAUAUAAAAAUAUAAAUGAAUUGAAAGUAGCAUCAAGCAGUAAAAAAUGAACAUAGACUACAGUAAUUCUAAAAAAAAAUAGAAGAAACCCAACUUUCUUCCUCCAAAUACAUGCAUGAGAUCAUGAUCACCAAGAAAUUAAAUAGCUAAAACACUCACACAAAUAACAUAGAUGUUAACAAUCAAGAGUGAGGAACUAAAUGAACAUAUUUCCAGGCUUGUGCCUAUAGGCUGGAAAAUGCUACAUUGUUGCCCAUGCACAUUAGCAAAUGUAUGUUAAGUUACACGUUAAUAUGGAUAUCAAAACUCUGAGUUUGUACCUAAAGUGUAAAGUUGCUGAAAUUUCAUAUUAUUUUGGAGAAAUAAGGAAAGUGCAGGAGAUUGUAGCCUAUGGUGACAGCGUUCUGCCAUUAGAAUAUGCCACAAAUUUUCUAGAUGAAGUGUUGUUUAUUUUUUUCUGGUGUAAUACAUGAUUUUUUCAUAAUAACAGAACUCUGUUUCAUAACUAUUGUUUUCCCUGUUCCUGAAAACAUGUUUGUUAAGAAGUCAAUAUUAAUUUGGUUCUUCCCCUUUCUGCUCCUAAAUACGGUAGAACAAGGGUGGUUUGAAUGCUUGACAUAGUAGAGAAGAAAGGUAGCCAUUCUCUGAAUUGUUAUUUCUGAAUAGCCUGCUGAAAUUAGUUAUAUUUACACAAGGUAUCUAUUAUUCCAAAAUGUUGUUUUAUUAUUUUGUUGUAUCAACUGCCAGGUCUGACAUAUAUUGAUAAAGCCCAAAAUAUGCAUUGUUCGUAAGAAAGGGUCUGCUUAGGGAUCUAUUAAUAAUGGAUAUCAUCCAUCUGUCUCUGGAAAAUGAAUUUUCAUGAUCCUAUUGUUUGUGUGUUGCAAAAAAGCUCACAGUUGCAACAUAAUACAAAGAAAGGAUUCACCCUACCGAUCCGACCAUUGGGCCAUGAAAUGUUGUCGAUGUCCAUUCUGUAUUUUUAUGUAUUCAGGACUCUAGUAUAAUUUGAAUGUGAAAUCAUAAUGGUUUAUAGCACUUCUGUUUCCUUUCAGGAUAUUACAUGUAGCAUGUCUAAGAAAUUGAACUACGUACAGUAGUAACCUCGCAUAUGUUCUGAAGGAGCCUGGGGAGAACUGCGAAAGAGUGGCAAGUGGCUGAAAAUGUCACAUUAUGCUGCUGUGCUCUCCUACCUCUGCUGUUUCUUCUGAAAUCGUUUAAUAGUUGAAUAUGUUACAGAAGCCUUGGGCAGCUUUAACUUGCACGUCAGAUGUUAAGCAACAUCAUUGCCUUGGUGUAUCUGACCCUAGCAAGAUUACACAAGAUGUAUCUUUACCAGAAGGGAAAGGAAAUGUUUAAAUGUGAUUUGUUUGGGCAUUUGGCACUGUGUUCUGUCUGUAAUCAAGUCCCUUGUACCUUCACCACAUUUUUUGUUUUUAUGACAAUGAUCUAUUUAGGGUUUAUACAUCUCACUGGUAUCUUUUUUGUGAUUUUACAAUAUGCUUCAUGUAAUAUAUUGGAAAUGUUUCUCUGGAUAUCUUAAAGAAUGCAGCAGUAGUCUGUUCCUGCCAGCCAUGCAGUGCUAACAAAAUGAAUUUCAAUAAGGACAAAUGUAAGGUUCUGCACUUAGGUAGGAUGAGCGAGGUAUAAAUAAUAAAUUAUUACUAUAUUAUUAUUAUAUAAGCAGAAACACAAAUAUAGGAUGGGAGGCACCUGGCUUACUAGCAGUACAUCUAGGGCUCUUGGUGGAACACAAGCUUAGCAUGUGUCAACAGUGUGAUUCAGCAGCAAAAAAAACUAAUGCUAUUCUAGGCUGCAUCAACAGAAGUAUAGUGUCCAGGUCAAAGGAAGUAAUAGUACCACUAUUCUGCCUUAGUCAGACCACACCUGGAAUACUGUGUCUGGUUCUGGGCACCACAGUUUAAGAAGGAAGUUGACAAGCUGGAACAUGUGCAGAGGAGGGCAGCCAAAAUGAUCAAAGGUUUGGAAACCAAGCCUUAUGAGGAGCACUUGAAGGAGCUGGGUAUGUUUAGCCUGGAAAAGAGGAGACUGAGAGGAGAUAAGAUAGCCCUCUUCAAAUAUCUUAAGGAAUGUCACAUGGAAGAAGGAACAAGCUUGUUUUCUCCUGCCCUGGAAGGUUGAACUUGAACCAAUGGCUUCAAGUUACAAGAAAGGAGAUUCCGACCAAACAUAUGAAAAAACUUUCUGACAGUAAGAACUGUUUGACAGUGGAAUGGACUCCUUUGGGAGGGGGUGGACUCUUCUAUUUUGGAGGUGUUUUUUUUUAGCAGAGGUUGGAUGGCCAUCUGUCAUGGAGCCCCCUUUAGUGUGAAAAAAGCUGAAUAGCAACCAUAUUAUUAUACUCAUAUCAGAAGCUAUUGCCCACACGUUAUUUAAGAAUAGUUCCAUGUUUAUUGGUUUCAAAACUCGAAUGUUUAUAAAAAUCCCAUUUUGGGCUCACUAAUUGAGAAAGUUGAUCAUUUUAACUAUGUGGGACAGAUAACCUAUAUCACAUCAGUGAUUUAAAUAAUCAAGAAAUUUAAAUAACUUAAAGAAUUGACUUAAAUCUAGUUCCCCACUGAUAUUACUAAAAAACGAUGCAAAUCUGAGCACUGAACUAUUACAGUUAGAAUAUGAUUCACUACCAUCCCAUACAUCUCUUUGUCAGGUGGUAUACAUUAUUUCUUUUUUUAAAAAGAAUCACUUAAAGUAUCUUUCUUAUGACCAGCACCUAUCACAUUUUGUUAAAUCCUAAACAUGUCUACUGGGAAUCUGACUGGGUUCAAGGGCUCUUACUCUCAGGGAAAUGUGUACAGAAUUGCAAGCCAAGGUAUGGGAACAGAGGCACCUGCACAUUUUCUGACCACGUUAUUUCCAUGUUGCUCCUUUCUGUUUCACUUGGCCCUGGCCCAACCUCAGCACCACACUCAGAAAAACAAAAUAGCAAAUGAAAAUAAAAUUCCCUUAAUAUUCCUGCAAUUGUAGUAAAUAUUCCUGUUUGCAUGGUAUUCAAGGCAUUAAAAUUAUAACAGCUGUGUGAACUUCAAGAUUCCAAAACUUGCUCAGAACCACAGAGGUUCAUUAACAGCACAAUUCCAUGCAUGUGUACUCAGAAAGAUGUCUCAUUAAGUUCAGUGAUCUUACUCUUAGGUAAUUUGUGUAUAGGACUGCACCCUUAAGGACUUAGAACCAUGUAUUAUUAAUUUGUCCAGUACAAUUUCUUUUUGUCAUGCAAACACCCUUUGGAAUAAUAUACAUUUCCAAUUAAUUACGCUUAUUGGGGCAAGAUUGCUAUAUAUUGUCAUGCUUACAGUUUGUAACAGAUACAAAUUCUCUUAAAUUCCAGUGAUCAUUGAACCACCCACAGAGAAACCUGUCAGGUAAAGUACUGAUAUAACCUUGUCCCCCAGCCUUGGAAAGUAUCCAUAUUCACCCAAAAUUAAAGUGCUUCCCUGUAGCACAGGCAGGCGAGAUCUGUCUGUCUCUCUGUCUGUCUGUCUGUCUGUCUGUCUGUCUCUCUCUCUCUCUCUCUCUCUCUCUCACACACACACACACACACACACACACACCUACCUACCUUCUUCAGUGGUUGGUUGGAAGCGAACAUUCUAGAAAGCACUUGCUCCAUACUGGAGCAGUAGUACUGAAGGAUAGAUGGUGCUUUCAUUUGAUUCAAGGGUGAGGACCAGAAAUUGCUCCGCCAAGAAGUGUCAUUUAUGCUGCUGACACCUAACACAUGCAUGGAAUUGUUACUUUGUUCUCUUACUAAGACAUAUUUUAAGAAGGGCUUGUGGAAAAAUGUAUAAAUUUCCUAGGCAGUGAAACAGGCGCUCAUGUUUCUUUUUUGAAGUAUGUGAUAUCCAUUAAACCCUUAAAUUUUCUUUGUCCACUAGUAGUCAAGUGCAUCAGUGUUAGUGAGAGCCAGUCCUGAGCCUUUCUCUCAUUCAUUGUCAACAAUAGUCUGUGGUUCUGUCAAAUUAGUGUUUGCUGUAGAACGUGACAGGUGAAUAGCCCUGAGGGUUUAUGAACUGUAGCCUUACAAUUGAAUUUCAGGGAUUCUCAUUAGAAUGUUGUGAAAUUGUAAAUUACACUGACUGUACCAAACCUUUGACUUGUGUGCCUGACUCUUUUCCAAAUAAUUUUGUUAAAUAUGCAUUUAGCAUAUGAAAUU